RNAcentral lists this ribosomal RNA (497 nucleotides) under uncultured bacterium. RNAcentral's name for it is "partial 16S ribosomal RNA". It matches the Rfam family "Bacterial small subunit ribosomal RNA", at positions 28 to 507 of the family's 1533-position model. The record is from RNAcentral.
GACGAACGCUGGCGGCGUGCCUAAUACAUGCAAGUAGAACGCUGAAGAGAGGAGCUUGCUCUUCUUGGAUGAGUUGCGAACGGGUGAGUAACGCGUAGGUAACCUGCCUUGUAGCGGGGGAUAACUAUUGGAAACGAUAGCUAAUACCGCAUAACAAUGGAUGACCCAUGUCAUUUAUUUGAAAGGGGCAAAUGCUCCACUACAAGAUGGACCUGCGUUGUAUUAGCUAGUAGGUGAGGUAACGGCUCACCUAGGCGACGAUACAUAGCCGACCUGGGAGGGUGGUCGGCCACACUGGGACUGGGACACGGCCCAGACUCCUACGGGAGGCAGCAGUAGGGAAUCUUCGGCAAUGGGGGCAACCCUGACCGAGCAACGCCGCGUGAGUGAAGAAGGGUUUCGGAUCGUAAAGCUCUGUUGUAAGUCAAGAACGAGUGUGAGAGUGGAAAGUUCACACUGUGACGGUAGCUUACCAGAAAGGGACGGCUAACUACGUG